This 497-nucleotide ribosomal RNA is filed under the name uncultured soil bacterium. RNAcentral's name for it is "bacterial SSU rRNA". It matches the Rfam family "Bacterial small subunit ribosomal RNA", at positions 26 to 532 of the family's 1533-position model. The record is from RNAcentral.
AGGACGAACGCUGGCGGCGUGCUUAAUACAUGCAAGUCGAGCGGUAAGGCUCCUUCGGGAGUACACGAGCGGCGAACGGGUGAGUAACACGUGAGCAAUCUGCCCUUCACAUCGGGAUAACCCCCGGAAACGGGAGCUAAUACCGGAUACGACCACUUCAGGCAUCUGAUGGUGGUGGAAAGUUCUGGCGGUGAAGGAUGAGCUCGCGGCCUAUCAGCUUGUUGGUGGGGUAAUGGCCCACCAAGGCUUCGACGGGUAGCCGGCCUGAGAGGGUGACCGGCCACACUGGGACUGAGACACGGCCCAGACUCCUACGGGAGGCAGCAGUGGGGAAUAUUGGACAAGUGGGCGAAAGCCUGAUCAGCAACGCCGCGUGAGGAUGACGGCCUUCGGGUUGUAAACCUCUUUCAGCGCAGACGAAGCGAAAGUGACGGUAUGCGCAGAAGAAGACGACCGACCAACUACCGUGCCGAGCACGCCGACCGGUAAUCGUAGGA